RNAcentral lists this ribosomal RNA (522 nucleotides) under uncultured Glomeraceae. RNAcentral's name for it is "SSU rRNA". It matches the Rfam family "Eukaryotic small subunit ribosomal RNA", at positions 569 to 1092 of the family's 1831-position model. The record is from RNAcentral. Lineage: Eukaryota; Fungi; Glomeromycota; Glomeromycetes; Glomerales; Glomeraceae.
AGCAGCCGCGGUAAUUCCAGCUCCAAUAGCGUAUAUUAAAGUUGUUGCAGUUAAAAAGCUCGUAGUUGAAUUUCGGGGUUAGUAGAUUGGUCGUGCCUCUGGUAUGUACUGGUCUUACUGAUUCCUCCUUCCUGAUGAACCGUAAUGCCAUUAAUUUGGUGUUGCGGGGAAACUGGACUGUUACUUUGAAAAAAUUAGAGUGUUUAAAGCAGGCUAACGCUUGAAUACAUUAGCAUGGAAUAAUGAAAUAGGACGUUCGAUCCUAUUUUGUUGGUUUCUAGGAUUGACGUAAUGAUUAAUAGGGAUAGUUGGGGGCAUUAGUAUUCAAUUGUCAGAGGUGAAAUUCUUGGAUUUAUUGAAGACUAACUACUGCGAAAGCAUUUGCCAAGGAUGUUUUCAUUAAUCAAGAACGAAAGUUAGGGGAUCGAAGACGAUCAGAUACCGUCGUAGUCUUAACCAUAAACUAUGCCGACUAGGGAUCGGAUGAUGUUAAUUUUUUAAUGACUCAUUCGGCGCCUUACG